Molecule: transfer RNA, 94 nt
Filed under: Laccaria amethystina LaAM-08-1
Lineage: Eukaryota; Fungi; Basidiomycota; Agaricomycetes; Agaricales; Hydnangiaceae
Rfam family: tRNA
About the family: Transfer RNA (tRNA) molecules are approximately 80 nucleotides in length. Their secondary structure includes four short double-helical elements and three loops (D, anti-codon, and T loops).
Source: Rfam by way of RNAcentral
GCCUGCCUAGCUCAAUUGGAAAGAGCAUCAGACUCAAAUCGAAAAGUCCGAAUCGGACAUCUGAAGGCUGCAAGUUCGAACCUUGCGGUGGGCA